RNAcentral lists this ribosomal RNA (253 nucleotides) under uncultured bacterium. RNAcentral's name for it is "partial 16S ribosomal RNA". It matches the Rfam family "Bacterial small subunit ribosomal RNA", at positions 524 to 776 of the family's 1533-position model. The record is from RNAcentral.
UACGUAGGGUGCAAGCGUUAAUCGGAAUUACUGGGCGUAAAGCGUGCGCAGGCGGUGAUGUAAGACAGAUGUGAAAUCCCCGGGCUUAACCUGGGAACUGCAUUGGUGACUGCAGGGCUAGAGUGUGUCAGAGGGAGGUGGAAUUCCGCGUGUAGCAGUGAAAUGCGUAGAGAUGCGGAGGAACACCGAUGGCGAAGGCAGCCUCCUGGGAUAACACUGACGCUCAGGCACGAAAGCGUGGGGAGCAAACAGG